AUCAAGUGGUAUAUAGGUGUUUGCCUUGCUAUCUUCAUCUAAAUUGCAGCCAUUGAAACAUUCAUCCGGUAUUCUGUCAUCACAAGAAGCUAAAGUAGUUUUACUGCCGAUGAACUUAGGAUUGCAUGAUGCAGGAACUACACUCUCGGAUGCAAGAGGCUGUGAACCCUCGAGCAUAGCACAUUUUCCAUCUUUCAUAGGAGUACAAAAAUGUGUGCCUUCUAUUUUCUGCAGAAAGAUUUUAGUCUCAGGCCGUCUAAUAGUCACACUCUUAACAACAUCAAACUCUGGCUUCUUAUGACCAUUGAAAGGAGCCACACAUUCAUUAACCUGGUCAACACUUUGACG
This 348-nucleotide unclassified non-coding RNA is filed under the name Hevea brasiliensis (rubber tree). The record is from RNAcentral. Lineage: Eukaryota; Viridiplantae; Streptophyta; Magnoliopsida; Malpighiales; Euphorbiaceae.